Acinonyx jubatus (cheetah) is the source of this 4124-nucleotide long non-coding RNA. RefSeq lists it as uncharacterized. The record is from RefSeq and is a predicted model, not a curated record. Lineage: Eukaryota; Metazoa; Chordata; Mammalia; Carnivora; Felidae. The transcript has 10 exons.
UGGGAAGGGAGGGGUGAAAGGUCGCCGGUCCCCGGCAACACGGCUCAGGCAAACGUAAGCCGCUUGUCGCAGAAACCAAGGGGUCCAAGAAACCCGCUAGGCUAGAAGGCGGGAAGCAGAGAUUACUGACAGCCAUGCCAGCCAAUAAAAUGGGAAUGUGAGAAAGGCUCUUCAGGCCCCUUCCCAAUCAGGAAACUUGGGUAUGAGAGGGAGUGAAGGGGCGGGGUGGGAUCUCGGUCAAGCCGGGGCUGGAGUGGCGACAAUUUUGGCUAGUCUGAGAAGGGCAUUCGAGUGACCGUUGACAACGGGUGAGACAGCGUCAAGGCUGAAGAAAGAACCUUAACUAUAUGCUUCCAGGACUUCUAGCUAGAUGUGUCUCCUGAGGCAAGGGAAACAAAAGCAAAAUUAAAAUUAAACCAUUUGGACUACAUCAAGAUAAAAAGCUUUUGCACAGUGAAGGAAAUCAUCAAUAAAACAAAAAAGACAACCCACUGAAUGGUAGAAGAUAUUUGCAACUAACAUGUCUGUUUCACUCCUUCAGAAUCUUCUCUGUACCCCCAAAGGCUGAAAUCUAGGGGUUGCCUCAAGAGAUGACCUGUCCUCUGACUACUGGAUGGAAGCCCAAUAGGAAGCUUCUGCAAUAGGAGGUUUAAGCAGAAAUCUUCUAACUCUCCUGCCUUCUUGCAAAUUCAUCUUAUCUCUGGAAAGAGAAAGUUGGAGAAUCCCAGGUUGGAAUACAGACUGUGAUGAAAGAAUCCGACUGUAUUAUAAGCGUAUGAAUAAAACUUCAAAGAAGGACAUAGAGAGGAAAGGUGCUAUGUAAAGAGCUGGAAAUGAGUGGAGCCUAUAAUACUUAAGGAUACAGUAAGUCAGGAGACUAAACCCAGAAGAGGUUCCUCACCAGAACCCAAUCAUGGUGGUACCCUGAUCUUAGACUUCCAGACUUGAAGAAUUUGAAAUGGAAUUAUGAUACCAAAUGGCAUAAGGACAAUACUUUAUGCUGGUAAUUAAAUGGAAGACUAUAUAGAAUUCCAUGUUGCUCAGGAAGAUCUGGAUUUAAUAAAAUGGAGGCCUACUGAAGAAGAUUUAGAUAUAUCAGUUAUUAAGUCCCUUAUAUAGAUAUUACUACAUAUGUUUCUACUAGGGUUCUUCUCAUUAGAAGGUACAGAGCUCUAGAGUCAGGACUGUGGGUUUUGAAAUAACCCAUCCUGCAUCCAUAAACAACUUGCCUUGAUGGCUAGCCAAGACUCUGUCCUGCCACAGACCUCCUCCUACUUUCAUUUCUUACCCCAAGGAGCAGUAAACAUGAAUCCUGACCCACUAAUGGAGCCCCAGAACUGAGAAGAGAUACAUUGCUGCUAAACAGGUAGAAAUAAAAACAAUGCCUCUCUUCGAUAAUAUUAAAUGUGCUGGGAAGACAGUCUCCAAGAGAAAGGAUAAAUAAUCUACAUAAUGAAGAAUUAGUUAGCAGUGUUAUGUAAAUAUUGUAGCAGCAUCAAUGAGGAGGAUUAUUUUUGCACCUUUGGAAAGCAACUGAAAAAAGAAGCUUGGAAAAAAUCCUGCCUAACAAAGCAGCCAUACUCAAAUAGCUAAAACUAUAAGAAAGAACUGAUUGAAGAUACAAGAAUAGAUUUAAGAUGUAAGAUUAAAACAUGAUAAAAAAUGAUAUCCUCAUUUUUUUCAAUGCUGUGUAUUCUUGUCAGUGUAGCGAAAUGCUAAAAUGGCAAAGGAUUAAAUUGUUUUUAUUAUGCCCCUGAAUUUUAAGUAGUGACUGAAACAUAUAUUUUAUAUAAUAACAGCCAGACAAAACAACACAUAUAAGGAUAAAGGUAGGUGAGUGGAAAAUGUAAUGUACAAAUUAUCCAAAAGGAAAUCAGUUUAAAGCAAUUUUUUAGCUACUGGCAUCAAUAAGUUGACUCCCCGCUACUUUUCAGAAAAAGUUGGCAUACGUUUUCUUCUUGCUACACCCCUGAAAACCUCAGUUUUAGAAUGACGAAAUAUUUAAAUCUUUUGGAACUAUCUAGAUUUUAGGUAUUUCUUCUGAAAGUGUUGACUCUUGAUUUGACAAUGGUGCACAAAUCACUGAAAUUCACAAAUUCUAAAUCUCACUUAAAAUUUUUUUUAAUGUUUAUUUUUUUUGAAGAAGAGAGAGACAGAACAUGAGUGGGGGAGGGACAGAGAGAGAGAGGAGACACAGAAUCGGAAGCAGGCUUCAGGCUCUGAGCCAUCAGCACACAGCCUGUCGUGGGGCUCAAACCCACGAACCAUGAGAUCAUGACUUGAGCCAAAGUUAGAUGCUUAACCGACUGAGCCACCCAGGGGCUUCUCUAAAUCUCACUUUAGAUAUUGGUUUAAGAAAUGUUAAUAUUUCAAUUUAGUGAAAUGGUAAAAAGGUAGAUAAUAGAUAAAGAGAAAUGGAAAUGUUUCAGAUAAUAAAAGAAUUGAAUAAUUAGGUAAAAUUAAUCAGCCUUCAAUACAACGAGCUUUUGAUUGUCUAGCAAUGUUUGUAUCAUUUGUAGACUCUCCACAGAGAAUGUUUAACUGAAGGAUGCCCUUCUCUCUAUAUUCUUCCUAUUGCCACUGGUUGUUGUAUACUCAGGAAAGGCAAACACAUUUUAAUAUUAAUUAUAUUUCAGUCAAGAGGCCACCAGAGGAGGGAUAUGUCUGGGAAUAGAAGCCAGAAGCCCAAAUAUACUGAAUGAAAGUACAUAAACAUAGAUACAAGGAAAAUCUUUAGGUUAAAAUCAGGUUAAAAAGGAGAGUAAGUAUAGAAAUACAGGCACAGGCUAGAAUCUAGGAGUUGCAUCCAGGUAACCAAAGAAGUUGAACAGGCAAUAGAUGAGAACAGAAUGCAUUUAGCAGUGGCAAUCAGGUGUCCAGAAAUGAAUCAAGUGUCUGGGGGCUUAGGACAGCAAGCUCAAGGUCAAGGGCUUACAGAAAAAAAAUAUUCUUCCAUAUUGGAAAAAUCUUGCUUCAGAUGUUAUUUAUAAUCCCAGGCCCAAGACAUGUUGAAUUCAAUUCAGUUUAUGAAUAACUAGGAUGUAUAAAAUCACACUCUCUCUGUGCAUUCCUAGUUGAUUGCAGUUGGUAUUCUUAUUUCAUUGUGACUAAAAGCACUUGUGAAAGACUGUAUACCAUGAGGAAUGUAGGGGCCGCUUUCAGGCAAACAGGCUUGAACAAUGUAAUAUAGAAAGGGCCCACAGGCAACACCUGGCUGACUUUAAACAGGCCCAUCAGGUGACCCACCUGGAAAUAUACAUAUAUAUGGCAUAUAUCCAUAUGGCACUGACCAAUGGGCUACUUAGAACUAGGCACUGUUACUGAAAAAGGGAAGAUUCCAUACAUUGCCAUGCUUCCUCAUCUUCCCCCUUUAAAGCAGCCCUCACCCACUGCCUCCCGGUGGACAGUCUCUCCUCUGCUGUCCUGCCCACUCCCUAGUGGUGUAUUCAAUAAAUUUCUACCUGCUUUGUUCUGCCUCAGGUGAAUUCUUUUACCUUCAGUGCCACCAACUUCCACCUGAUCUUUGCCCCCACAUUUGGGAGCCCCCAUCCGAUCCAGAGACACCCCAUUUAGGCACCACAUUUGGUGUCCCAUAUGGGGGGACUUUGUGGCCCACCCCACACUUGGGGGAACUCUGCACAAGGAGCCUUUGCUCUCCCCAGAUUCUCCAGGAAUCUCUUGGGACUUUCCUUGGGGGACCAACUCUAGUACUCCUUGGGGAACUGAUGAUGUGCAUCAGCAGAGGUUACUUCUAGGUGAGGAUCCAAAGUCCCAAGGGGGAACCAGCCAGAUCACCCUUGCCUGAGUGUGUGAAGGAUUUCACCUUUUGCCUUCUGGAGGGACCCUCCACUCCCUCCUUUCUCUUUUUGGCUCUUUAGUAGUCUAACCCUAGUAAUGUUGCAGGAUUUUAUUGUUGUUGUUAAUAUAUAUAUAAUUAUUUAUUUUUAAAUUUACAUCUGAGUUAGCAUAUGGUGCAAUAAUGAUUUCAGGAGUAGAAUCCAGUGAUUCGCCUUUUACAUACCCAAUGCUCAUCCCAACGAGUGUCCUCCUUAAUGCCCUUUGCCCAUUUAGCCCAUCCCCCCACCCACAACCCCUCCAGCAACCCUGUUUGUUCUCUGUAUUUA